AGUAAUGUAUCCGUCCCUUCGGGGCAGUGGAGACAGGUGGUGCAUGGUUGUCGUCAGCUCGUGUCGUGAGAUGUUGGGUUAAGUCCCGCAACGAGCGCAACCCUUACCUUCAGUAGCCAGCACAUAAUGGUGGGCACUCUGGAGGGACUGCCGGGGACAACCCGGAGGGAGGUGGGGACGACGUCAAAUCAUCAUGCCCCUUAUGGCCUGGGCUACACACGUGCUACAAUGGCGUAAACAGAGGGAGGCAGCCCCGCGAGGGUGAGCAAACCCCAAAAAUAACGUCCCAGUUCGGAUUGCAGUCUGCAACUCGACUGCAUGAAGCUGGAAUCGCUAGUAAUCGCGGAUCAGAAUGCCGCGGUGAAUACGUUCCCGGGUCUUGUACACACCGCCCGUCACACCAUGGGAGUUGGUAACGCCCGAAGUCAGUGACCUAACCGAAAGGGAGGAGCUGCCGAAGGUGGGACCAGUGACUGGGGUGAAGUCGUAACAAGGUAGCCGUAUCGGAA
RNAcentral lists this ribosomal RNA (509 nucleotides) under uncultured bacterium. RNAcentral's name for it is "bacterial SSU rRNA". It matches the Rfam family "Bacterial small subunit ribosomal RNA", at positions 1002 to 1510 of the family's 1533-position model. The record is from RNAcentral.